CAAUUGCGUCUAUUAAAGUUGUUGCAGUUAAAAAGCUCGUAGUUGAAUUUCUGUCAGGAGUGACCGGGCCUUUGGAUGAACUUCCAUUGUUUUUUGCUCUGUUUGUCAUCUCUAGACAUCCUGAAAUAUUUUUUAAAAAUAUUUCUCUUUUACUGUUAGCAAAAUAGAGUGUUCCAAGCAAAGCGUAGUUUUGAAUACAUUAGAAUGGAAUAAUAAGAUAGGACUUUGGUGCUAUUUUGUUGGUUUGCACACCAAGGUAAUGAUUAAUAGGGACAGUUGGGGGUAUUCGUAUUUAAUUGUCAGAGGUGAAAUUCUUGGAUUUAUGAAAGACGAACUACUGCGAAAGCAUUUACCAAGGAUGUUUUCAUUAA
This 371-nucleotide ribosomal RNA is filed under the name uncultured eukaryote. RNAcentral describes it as "partial 18S ribosomal RNA". It matches the Rfam family "Eukaryotic small subunit ribosomal RNA", at positions 592 to 976 of the family's 1831-position model. The record is from RNAcentral.